Molecule: ribosomal RNA, 253 nt
Filed under: uncultured bacterium
Lineage: Bacteria
Description: partial 16S ribosomal RNA
Rfam family: Bacterial small subunit ribosomal RNA
Source: RNAcentral
GACGUAGGGCGCGAGCGUUGUCCGGAUUUAUUGGGCGUAAAGAGCUCGUAGGCGGCUUGUCGCGUCGGCUGUGAAAUCCCGUGGCUCAACUGCGGGUCUGCAGCCGAUACGGGCAGGCUAGAGUUCGGUAGGGGAGACUGGAAUUCCUGGUGCAGCGGUGAAAUGCGCAGAUAUCAGGAGGAACACCGGUGGCGAAGGCGGCUUCCUGGACCGACACUGACGCUGAGGCGCGAAAGCUAGGGGAGCAAACGGG